This 2279-nucleotide long non-coding RNA is filed under the name Macaca fascicularis (crab-eating macaque). Its description in RNAcentral is "lncRNA (ENSMFAG00000062883.1)". The record is from RNAcentral. Lineage: Eukaryota; Metazoa; Chordata; Mammalia; Primates; Cercopithecidae.
UUUUUUUUUUUGGAGACAGGGUCUUGCCCAGGCUGAAGCCCAAGUGGCAUGAUCAAGGCUCGCUGAAGCCUCGACCUCCCAGGUUGAAGCCAUCCACCCACCUCAGCCUCCAGAGUAACUGGGACCACAGAUGUGCACCACGAUGCCUGGCUAAUUUUGUCUUUUUAAAAAAUUUUUUGUAGAGCUGACAGGGUCUCACUAUGUUGCCCAGGCUGGUCUCGAACUCCUGGACUCAGGCAAUCCUCUCACCUUGGCCUCCCAAAGUGCUGGGAUUACAGUUGUGAGCCACCAUACCUGGCCUGCAUACCCUUUUCUAUCUGGCUCUCUCAACUUUAAAAUCUUUCUUGGUGGCUCCAGUGUGCCAUGUCUCAUGGUCCUGAAAUGACCCCUGUCACUGAGGCAGGGAGCAGAGGAGACAGGGAAUUUGUGCUGAUGGUAAAUGGAUCUGGUUUGAAUCCUGGCCACUGCCCACUAGCCAUGUGACCAAGACUUAGCCAUAUUUUUUCCGGGUGUUAUGCAGAGAUAAUGAGAUCAAAAUUGUAACGCAUCUAGUACUGACAUAACAGGCGCUCAACAAAUUGUAGCUAUUUAAGUGUUAAUAACAAAUCCUUUUCAGAUUGUUUCUAUAACAGUGAAUUUGCAAACAGUUGGAACCUCUGAAGUGCCUCCUCUCCUGGACUGGAAACCCCUUGAGGGCAGGGGCCUUGUCUGCCUAUUCACAAUGUCCGUCUAGCACACGGUAGGCUCUUAAUAUAUAUAUUUAUUUUUGAUGAAUGAAUAAUCUAGACUAUCCUCAAUUCUGAUAUCACAAUUCCUUUCUAGUAUUAAAUUCCGAAUUAUAAUACAUGUUAAUUGCAGAAGAAUUGGAAAAUAUUUUUUAAAAAUAGGAAAACAAAAAAAUAGCUGUGAUCCUAGUCCCCGGAGAUAGCCACAGUUAAUAUUUGGAUAUAUUUCCCUGCAGCCUUUUUUUCUGUGCUUAUGCAUAUUUCAAAAGGUUUAUAUUCUGGCUUUUCAGUUAACAUAAGGAGCAUUUCCCUGUGUUACUAAAUAAUCUUCAUAAACAUAAUUUUAAGUGCUACAUAUAUUAUUCUGUGCUAUGAAUGUAUCAUAAUUUAUGUAACCAAUACCCAGUGGUUGAUAUUUAAGUCGUUUCCAUUUUUCACCAUUAUAAAUAAAGCUGCACUGAACAUCCUUUUGCACAAAUCUCUGUGUAUAUCUGUGAAUUAAGAUUUACUACCAAGAAUAAAUUCUACAAGUAAAUUACUGAUUUAACAGUGAACAUGUGAAGACCCCAGGUAAAUGUCUUGUUAAAUGAUUUUUCAUAGAGGUUGCACUCAUUGUCUGUGCACAUGAUUUAACAGUGAACAUGUUAAGACCCCAGGUAAAUGUCUUGUUAAAUGACUCUUCAUAGAGGUUGCACUCAUUGUCUGUCCUCCUGCUAUCAAGGUAGGAGAAUUCUCACCUCCAGAAUAUUGUUUAAAAUGAAAGACUCUUUGCCAAAUGGAGAAGUGAGACACAAAGUCUAUUUUUUCAUGAUGAUCGCUUCUGUCUUUGACGAGCAUGGUGCAUUGAGGGGUCCUCAACUUGACAUUUUGGACUAGAUGGUUCCUGGUGUGAGGGGCUGCCCUGUGUGUUGUAGGACGUUUAGCAGCAUCCCUGACCACCUACUAGAUGUUAGUAGCACCCCAUUUCCCCCAGUUAUGAUAACCAAAAAUAUAUCCAGACAUCGCCAAAUGUCCUCUGGGGAACACCCCUGCUUGAGAACGAUGUAGUUACACUGUAUUAACUCUAUUGGUUACAAGUAACAGAAACCAACUGUAAGCAAAAAUAGGGACUUUGUGAGAAAAGUCUUAGGGUAUCAUGGAACCCAAAGGCAUGGAUGCAAGUGGGCCUCCCUCCUCUUUUCAGGGCUGCCUCAUUCUUUUCUCUUGCUGUAGACUGGCGUUCUCUCUAUUCUUGACUACAAGGAGGAAAAUGGCCACCACUAACAUUUCUGAAGUUUAUAUCCCUUGUGUAUGAAAAAGCCAGGCUACACUGGAGUCUCUUGGUUCCAAAUGCUCAGGGAAGGACUCCAAGAGGCGCAGCUUAGGUGGGCUAUGUACAGCCGGUCCGAUCAGUGUGGCUGUCGGGGGACAGGAGGGACAUGUGGCUCCUGGAGAUCUUGUUGUAUCUAUGUGGAUGUGCCUGUAUUUCUAGAAAAAGGCUGCUGGGCAGCUGAUCCCUCAGGAGUCCCCUAGAUGCCCACACAACAGCACAUUGGACACUUUGCCUACAAGGGC